RNAcentral lists this ribosomal RNA (719 nucleotides) under uncultured Alphaproteobacteria bacterium. RNAcentral's name for it is "bacterial SSU rRNA". It matches the Rfam family "Bacterial small subunit ribosomal RNA", at positions 38 to 803 of the family's 1533-position model. Lineage: Bacteria; Pseudomonadati; Pseudomonadota; Alphaproteobacteria. The record is from RNAcentral.
GGCGGCAGGCCUCAUACAUGCAAGUCGAGCGCGCCCUUCGGGGUGAGCGGCGGACGGGUGAGUAACGCGUGGGAAUAUGCCCUUCUCUAAGGAAUAGCCUCUGGAAACGGAGAGUAAUACCUUAUACGCCCUUUGGGGGAAAGAUUUAUCGGAGAAGGAUUAGCCCGCGUUAGAUUAGGUAGUUGGUGGGGUAAUGGCCUACCAAGCCUACGAUCUAUAGCUGGUUUGAGAGGAUGAUCAGCCACACUGGGACUGAGACACGGCCCAGACUCCUACGGGAGGCAGCAGUAGGGAAUCUUAGACAAUGGGGGCAACCCUGAUCUAGCCAUGCCGCGUGUGUGAUGAAGGCCCUAGGGUCGUAAAGCACUUUCGCCAGAGAUGAUAAUGACAGUAUCUGGUAAAGAAACCCCGGCUAACUCCGUGCCAGCAGCCGCGGUAAUACGGAGGGGGUUAGCGUUGUUCGGAAUUACUGGGCGUAAAGCGCACGUAGGCGGAUUAGUAAGUUAGAGGUGAAAUCCCAGGGCUCAACCCUGGAACUGCCUUUAAUACUGCUAGUCUUGAGUUCGAGAGAGGUAAGUGGAAUUCCGAGUGUAGAGGUGAAAUUCGUAGAUAUUCGGAGGAACACCAGUGGCGAAGGCGGCUUACUGGCUCGAUACUGACGCUGAGGUGCGAAAGUGUGGGGAGCAAACAGGAUUAGAUACCCUGGUAGUCCACACCGU